Molecule: long non-coding RNA, 588 nt
Filed under: Aedes aegypti (yellow fever mosquito)
Lineage: Eukaryota; Metazoa; Arthropoda; Insecta; Diptera; Culicidae
Description: lncRNA AAEL026875
Source: RNAcentral
UUUUUUUUUUCAAAAAACUUCGAGACCCCAAACUGCAGUCUGGACAGCUUUGGAGCUAAAGUUUUUACUUUCCGGAAGCGUUAUUAACAUUUCUGAACAUAUUUUGUCCGCUGGCAGAGGAAUCGAGUGGAUUAUUAUCGCUCAUUUGGAUGCCCACCAGGGCAACGGAUAUUCAAAGAAUCUGAUGGAUGGACUGACGAUAGAAAGAUGAGGAGUACUUGCAGAAGCUGAUAAUUUUAUUGAGAACCAAUCCGCCCCUAUUCGCCAGCACCGAUGUGCUGAAGAAUGACCUGGUGAGGGUACUGGUUAUCACCAGCCAGGUAGUGGUCGAAAGAGACGAGAUCGUUCAUGAGAUGGACCGCGCCGUGACGCUGCUGAUGCUUCUCAUCCGAGGUGAUUUUCGGAGCUAUGCGUGGAACAUUGUGGACUCGAUUAUUAAUUUGCAUGCCAAAGACUUGCUAAAGGUGAGAUAGUAAUAGAGAAGUAGUUGGCUUCAAAUUAAAUUAAAUAAAACAUUUCAUGUUUGUAUCCUUCAAUGUACCUAUCCUAUUAGUGGUUCUUGAUAUCUAACAAUAAAUGUUGUACAUA